ACCUGGGUGGCUCAGUCAGUUGAGCAUCUGACUUCAGCUCAGAUCAUGAUCUCACAGUUCAUGGGUUCGAACCCAAUGUCAGGCU
This 85-nucleotide transfer RNA is filed under the name Felis catus (domestic cat). It matches the Rfam family "tRNA". From Rfam's summary of the family: Transfer RNA (tRNA) molecules are approximately 80 nucleotides in length. Their secondary structure includes four short double-helical elements and three loops (D, anti-codon, and T loops). Lineage: Eukaryota; Metazoa; Chordata; Mammalia; Carnivora; Felidae. The record is from Rfam by way of RNAcentral.